GGAGGUUGAUGAAACAGUAGGAGGAUAAGGGGAUGGGUAGUUGCAAAUAAUAACUCGGAUAUUCUUUCAAAAUGACAUCUGUAAGGCGAUUCUGUAAACUAGCUCUGGAAAGCAGUAAAUUAACAGCAACUGCUUACUGGAUGCUACCGUAUACUAGGCACUGUGUUAAAUGCGACGGUGUCCUUCUCAUAGCUUCAGACCACGGUCUGAUGUAGCCUUUUGCUCACAACCUUGCUUUCCUCACUGCAGAGCACACAGACACCUGCAUCGCAUCUCCUGUCCAUCACCACUCAGUUCAGUGAGUCACGUCAACUUUAUUUCUUAAGCACGUGCUGUGUGUGUUGUUGCUGUAAUAUGUGUAACCAUAUUGUAUGCGGAUGUCCUGACCAGCUGAUGGAGGGACUCAUAAGCAACAAGAAAAAGUAAUAUGCUGCUUCCUCAUUUUGGUAAAGAUAGCCAAGCCAUUUAUCCUCUGAGUUCUGGGCUGCUUUUCCUGUGAGGUUAUUCAUUCAUUCAUUUAAUCCGAAUUAAAUGAAUUAAUAAAUUCAGCAUCUUCUGUCAAUCACUGCAAGGGACUAGCAAUGUCAUGGUGAGCAAACAGAGACAAAAGGGUCAGCUUCUGGGAGCUUACAGCCUGGUGAGGGAGAGAAAAUUUAAUCAAAUAAACAGAAAUACAUUUGAAAUCUUCGCUGGGAUAACUGCUAUGGGAUUGUAAGAGCCUGUGUCAGAGACAAGGAACGGCGGUCAGAGAAGUCUUCCUUGAAAAAGCGACAACUGAGCUGAGACUGGAAGGAUGAGCAGAGUUACUAUGGAGGGAGUGGGAAAAGAAGAUUCUAGGAAGAGGGAACAGCCUUUGUUUUAGAAGGACAAGGCCAUCAAGAAAUUAAGCUGGAGUUCCUUGAAAGAUGGAAAGGAUGGUGGCUGAUGCUUCAAGAAGAAGAGGUAGCCUGACACUGGUGAGGAAGGGUCAGCUCUUCCAAGCCUGGGGUUGAGGGGUGGUGUGGUGGGUAGCUGUGGCUGGUGGACUCCUGGACCUUGAUGGAACGCAAUGCCUCAGAGGUGGCUGAACCUGUGGGCGAUGGCAGAGGGCUGCAUACUGGGCCUUGGGACCACCGAAGGUUGCAGUGAGGGGCACUGGGCCUCCCCACUCCCCGCCCCCCAGGGUCUGAAUAAAGGAAAGGAUUAACACUUAACGGCUAAUGUUACAAACACAAAAGCAAGGGAACAACAACACUUUAAUGAGAGGCAGUAUAUGUGGCGGCACGGACUUCUGUUUGGAGCCAAAGCGCUCACGUUCAAACCACAGCUCUACUAUUCAACAGCUUCCCGCCAAGGGCAAUUACUUGACCUCCCUGGGACUCGAGUUUCCCCAAGGGUAAAGUUGGGAUAACAGCAUCUAUUUUAUCAAGUGGUGGAGAAGAUUUAAAUUGGUUAAUGCACGUGAAGUUCUUAGAAGCGUCUGGCACAAAGUCAUGUCACAUACAUGUUAAGGAAAAAACAGCAGUCCAGAUGUGAGGCCCUCCUUCAAUUUUCUUGGACUCCAUAAGCCCCUGAGGGGCUGGUAUAGCCUAAACGAGAAAAAGGAGCUCUAAAGUGGGCUGAAUUUCUAGACAAACUGUGGGAAGUAGUGGAGGUUUGAGUUGGGAAAACAAAUGUUAAUGUAACAUUUUUUGCACCGAAGUUCUCAGACCACUUCCCUUUCGGAUCCAUUGGCACGCCCAUAAGCAAAUCCAUUCUAGGAAAAGUAGCGCUGGUGGUAAGCCUGAAUCAAAGAAAAAGAAAGAUGACCGAUUUUAAGGGAAAUCAGACACGUAGAGCUACGUAGGUCACCGAGUCCUAGAGGUCCUGAAACUGUUCCCUUGGAAACCCGGGUGAGGACCUCAGCACCAGCACGCAGGUCCAGUGGGCUAGCCUGGGAACCUGACGAACCAUCACUAGAAAUAGCGUUUCAGGGAAAGCUACCCCAACAUUUGAAAUGCUGUGUCCCAGCUUGCGUUAUCCAGCUGUGGGCUCCAAGAGGAAAGCUGGUAGUAAUUCACGACAUA
Molecule: long non-coding RNA, 2045 nt
Filed under: Equus asinus (donkey)
Lineage: Eukaryota; Metazoa; Chordata; Mammalia; Perissodactyla; Equidae
Description: lncRNA (ENSEASG00005031914.1)
Source: RNAcentral